Molecule: ribosomal RNA, 501 nt
Filed under: Candida tropicalis
Lineage: Eukaryota; Fungi; Ascomycota; Pichiomycetes; Serinales; Debaryomycetaceae
Description: eukaryotic LSU rRNA
Rfam family: 5.8S ribosomal RNA (bases 144-297)
Source: RNAcentral
GGGCAAUUGAAUGCUUAUUGCACCACAUGUGUUUUUUAUUGAACAAAUUUCUUUGGUGGCGGGAGCAAUCCUACCGCCAGAGGUUAUAACUAAACCAAACUUUUUAUUUACAGUCAAACUUGAUUUAUUAUUACAAUAGUCAAAACUUUCAACAACGGAUCUCUUGGUUCUCGCAUCGAUGAAGAACGCAGCGAAAUGCGAUACGUAAUAUGAAUUGCAGAUAUUCGUGAAUCAUCGAAUCUUUGAACGCACAUUGCGCCCUUUGGUAUUCCAAAGGGCAUGCCUGUUUGAGCGUCAUUUCUCCCUCAAACCCCCGGGUUUGGUGUUGAGCAAUACGCUAGGUUUGUUUGAAAGAAUUUAACGUGGAAACUUAUUUUAAGCGACUUAGGUUUAUCCAAAAACGCUUAUUUUGCUAGUGGCCACCACAAUUUAUUUCAUAACUUUGACCUCAAAUCAGGUAGGACUACCCGCUGAACUUAAGCAUAUCAAUAAGCGGAGGAA